ACGUUAGCGGCGGACGGGUGAGUAACACGUGGGUAACCUAUCUAUAAGACUGGGAUAACUUCGGGAAACCGGAGCUAAUACCGGAUAAUAUUUCGAACCGCAUGGUUCGAUAGUGAAAGAUGGUUUUGCUAUCACUUAUAGAUGGACCCGCGCCGUAUUAGCUAGUUGGUAAGGUAACGGCUUACCAAGGCGACGAUACGUAGCCGACCUGAGAGGGUGAUCGGCCACACUGGAACUGAGACACGGUCCAGACUCCUACGGGAGGCAGCAGCC
Molecule: ribosomal RNA, 273 nt
Filed under: uncultured Staphylococcus sp.
Lineage: Bacteria; Bacillati; Bacillota; Bacilli; Caryophanales; Staphylococcaceae
Description: partial 16S ribosomal RNA
Rfam family: Bacterial small subunit ribosomal RNA
Source: RNAcentral